AGGAUUCCCCUAGUAACUGCGAGUGAAGCGGGAAAAGCUCAAAUUUAAAAUCUGGCGGCUUUGGUCGUCCGAGUUGUAUUCUAGAGAAGCGUUUUCCGCGCUGGACCGUGUACAAGUCUCUUGGAACAGAGCGUCAUAGAGGGUGAGAAUCCCGUCUUUGACACGGACUACCAGUGCUUUGUGAUGCGCUCUCAAAGAGUCGAGUUGUUUGGGAAUGCAGCUCAAAAUGGGUGGUAAAUUCCAUCUAAAGCUAAAUAUUGGCGAGAGACCGAUAGCGAACAAGUACCGUGAGGGAAAGAUGAAAAGCACUUUGGAAAGAGAGUUAAACAGUACGUGAAAUUGCUGAAAGGGAAACGCUUGAAGUCAGUCGCGUUGGUUAGAACUCAACCAGGCUUGCUUGGUGCAUUUUCUAUUCAACGGGCCAGCAUCAGUUUUGACUGUAGGAAAAAGAUCAGAGAAAUGUGGCACCUUCGGGUGUGUUAUAGUCUUUGGUUGCAUACUAUGGUUGGGACUGAGGAUCUCAGCACGCAUCUGUUGUGCUUAGGAUGCUGGCGUAAUGGCUUUAAACGACCCGUCUUGAAACACGGACCAAGGAGUCUAACAAACCUGCGAGUGUUUGGGUGGUAAACCCGAGCGCGUAAUGAAAGUGAAAGUUGGGAUCCCUGUCGCGGGGAGCACCGACGCCCGGACCAGACCUUCUGUGACGGAUCUGCGGUAGAGCAUGUUUGUUGGGACCCGAAAGAUGGUGAACUAUGCCUGAAUAGGGUGAAGCCAGAGGAAACUCUGGUGGAGGCUCGUAGCGAUUCUGACGUGCAAAUCGAUCGUCAAAUUUGGGUAUAGGGGCGAAAGACUAAUCG
RNAcentral lists this ribosomal RNA (857 nucleotides) under Phanerochaetella angustocystidiata. RNAcentral's name for it is "LSU rRNA". It matches the Rfam family "Eukaryotic large subunit ribosomal RNA", at positions 71 to 937 of the family's 3401-position model. Lineage: Eukaryota; Fungi; Basidiomycota; Agaricomycetes; Polyporales; Irpicaceae. The record is from RNAcentral.